This is a long non-coding RNA of Triticum aestivum (bread wheat), 1525 nucleotides long. RefSeq lists it as uncharacterized. The transcript has 2 exons. The record is from RefSeq and is a predicted model, not a curated record. Lineage: Eukaryota; Viridiplantae; Streptophyta; Magnoliopsida; Poales; Poaceae.
GCUGGGCGCUCUCUCAUCAACUGGACCAAUAAACUGUUAACUGGGCCUUCAUACUAGCCCAGAUUUAUUUCUUCUUUGAGCUCGUCUUCGUUCCGAUCCUUUCCUCCUAGGUCAGCGGCACGCACUCGGCCACCAGCGGCGGGUGCGCCAGGCCGCCGGCUCACCCUACUGCUCUGCGCGAGCGCCCGCACACCCACACACACAAAAACUCAGGCAAAACGCGAGCAAUUGCAACAGGACGGCGGCGACAUUAGAAUCUGUGACUACAAUGGUGCAUGUGAGCGCUCGUUUACGAGCGAAUGGAUUGUUUUGCCCUCUUCCAACUUGGUUUCAAUCUCCUACAUGUCAUGUCUUGUUGUUGAUUCUUUACUGAUUUGGGGAUUAUUUUUAGGGUUUGCUGUUGGUGCUGAAUUGAAUUGGGGAAGAAAAGCCGCUACCCCGUAUGCCACUGAUUCCAAUCGAAAAGCUGCUAAAUCUGACUGUUGUUUUCUACCCAUGCUCCAAAUUUUUCAUUAGUCGUAAGAUUUAGGACAUGAGGUUAUUUUGUACACACAUAUGAUUCAGUUUCCGGUCAAUUUGUUUGAUGCUAGGAACCAAACUGCCUGUUUAGUUUAAGAUGUGAUAUCCCUACUCUGAAAUCACAGUUUGUGUACCUAGCUAAUUUUAACUUAACUAAUCUAAAUGUUAGGAAGGACCGAUGGUUUCUGCAUAUUAGAGAUUUGUCGCUUGACUGAUAAUAUGCCAUAACGGGAUUAGGAAACCCAAAGAAAUUCUUCAGAGUUCUCUUCUGAAAAUGAAGCAGCAGUAGCAUUUGUGAAGAUGAACGAUGAGGUAAAAUACAACUUCGGGCAUCCGUGCAUAAAUCACAAGCCAAGUCUUGCACGGUAAUAGACAACCCUCGGUUCCAUUAUUUUCCUUAUGCUAACAAUUGUUUUUCUACACAUAAUGAUUUCAGCUGCUUGAUGGAAGAAAUUCGGGAUUAGGAAACCCAAAGAAAUUCUUCAGAGUUCUCUUCUGAAAUGAAGCAGCAAUAGCAUUUGUGAAGAUGAACAAUGAGCUGCUUGAUGGAAGAAAUUAACAUACAUUGAUGCAAACAACGGACACUAUGAUCUACACAGCGAGUCAUUUCUUCUUUCCCUAAGAAAAAUAUCAUUUCUUCAAUCUGGAAUAUGUGAUGUUAAAUUGAGCACUUGAAAUGUGCCAUGGAUUUCAUACAUUUGCAUGGCCACCAAUGCGCAGUUUAAGUUCAAUAUUAUGCCCACUACCAUAGCGGGACACAGAUCUAUCUGUGUAGUUACACUUAGAAUUGUAGAUUCUCUAUACUGGAGUUCAAAUGUUAAAUCCAGUAUUUUAUGUCAUUAGUCUACUUCACGCCACAGCUCUUAAUUUUUCACCCAUAGUCGAUCAUUUAAAUAUUUUCCGUAUCUAUAUUCUACUUUACGGGUUUGGAAAAGAUUUGUAAAAUCUCCACGCGGGUAGUUCAAAAUUAUAUAUUUUUACCCUGGUAUUCAAAAUUAUAUAUUUC